UACGGGGGGGGCAAGCGUUGUUCGGAAUUACUGGGCGUAAAGCGCGUGUAGGCGGCUAUGUAAGUCGGGCGUGAAAUCCUACGGCUCAACCGUGGAAGUGCACCCGAAACUGCGUAGCUAGAGUCCUGGAGAGGAAGGUGGAAUGCUUGGUGUAGAGGUGAAAUUCGUAGAUAUCAAGCGGAACACCGGUGGCGAAGGCGGCCUUCUGGACAGUGACUGACGCUGAGACGCGAAAGCGUGGGGAGCAAACAGG
Molecule: ribosomal RNA, 253 nt
Filed under: uncultured bacterium
Lineage: Bacteria
Description: partial 16S ribosomal RNA
Rfam family: Bacterial small subunit ribosomal RNA
Source: RNAcentral